Molecule: ribosomal RNA, 956 nt
Filed under: Benthalbella linguidens (longfin pearleye)
Lineage: Eukaryota; Metazoa; Chordata; Actinopteri; Aulopiformes; Scopelarchidae
Description: 12S rRNA
Rfam family: Bacterial small subunit ribosomal RNA
Source: RNAcentral
AAGCUUGGUCCUGGCUUUACUAUCAUCUCUAGCCAAACUUACACAUGCAAGUAUCCGCACCCCUGUGAGAAUGCCCUCAAUCUCCUGACCGGAGACGAGGAGCCGGUAUCAGGCACACUCUAUUAUGAACAAGCCCAAGACGCCUUGCUUAGCCACACCCCCAAGGGACUUCAGCAGUGACAGACAUUAAGCAAUAAGUGAAAACUUGACUUAGUUAAGGCUAAUAGGGCCGGUCAACCCCGUGCCAGCCACCGCGGUUAUACGAGAGACCCAAGUUGAUAGACAUCGGCGUAAAGGGUGGUUACGGAACAACACCGCCACUAAAGUCAAACGCCUCCUAUUCUGUUAUACGCAUUUCGAGGCAAGAGGCCCCACCACGAAAGUGACUUUAAUAUUCCUUCCCGAACCCACUACAGCUAGGAAACAAACUGGGAUUAGAUACCCCACUAUGCCUAGCCAUAAACCCUGAUAGUAUUUUACAUUCACUAUCCGCCCGGGUACUACGAGCACCAGCUUGAAACCCAAAGGACUUGGCGGUGCCUCAGACCCAUCUAGAGGAGCCUGUUCUAGAACCGAUACCCCCCGUUCAACCUCACCACCCCUGGCCAAUCCCGCCUAUAUACCGCCGUCGCAAGCUUACCCUUUGAAGGCAUCAUAGUCAGCUUAAUGGGCACUGCCCCAAACGUCAGGUCGAGGUGUAGCGUAUGCGGUGGAAAGAAAUGGGCUACAAUCUCUACAACAGAGAACACGGAGGGUGCAAUGAAACGCACACCUGAAGGUGGAUUUAGCAGUAAAAGGAAAACAUGAGCGUUCCUCUGAAGCUGGCUCUGAAGCGCGCACACACCGCCCGUCACUCUCCCCAAGAUGACAGCACACUGAGUUAAUAAACAAAACUUUAAUUAAGGGGAGGCAAGUCGUAACAUGGUAAGUGUACCGGAAGGUGCACUUGGAUUAGU